RNAcentral lists this ribosomal RNA (460 nucleotides) under uncultured bacterium. RNAcentral describes it as "partial 16S ribosomal RNA". It matches the Rfam family "Bacterial small subunit ribosomal RNA", at positions 338 to 795 of the family's 1533-position model. The record is from RNAcentral.
CCUACGGGUGGCAGCAGUGAGGAAUAUUGGUCAAUGGACGAGAGUCUGAACCAGCCAAGUAGCGUGAAGGAUGACUGCCCUAUGGGUUGUAAACUUCUUUUAUAUGGGAAUAAAAUGUUCCACGUGUGGGAUUUUGUAUGUACCAUAUGAAUAAGGAUCGGCUAACUCCGUGCCAGCAGCCGCGGUAAUACGGAGGAUCCGAGUGUUAUCCGGAUUUAUUGGGUUUAAAGGGUGCGGAGGUGGAUUGUUAAGUCAGUUGUGAAAGUUUGCGGCUCAACCGUAAAAUUGCAGUUGAAACUGGCAGUCUUGAGUACAGGAGAGGUGGGCGGAAUUCGUGGUGUAGCGGUGAAAUGCUUAGAUAUCACGAAGAACUCCGAUUGCGAAGGCAGUUCACUGGACUGCAACUGACACUGAGGCUCGAAAGUGUGGGUAUCAAACAGGAUUAGAUACCCUUGUAGUC